Molecule: ribosomal RNA, 253 nt
Filed under: uncultured bacterium
Lineage: Bacteria
Description: partial 16S ribosomal RNA
Rfam family: Bacterial small subunit ribosomal RNA
Source: RNAcentral
UACAGAGGUCUCAAGCGUUGUUCGGAUUCAUUGGGCGUAAAGGGUGCGUAGGCGGCGCGGUAAGUCGGGUGUGAAAUCUCGGAGCUUAACUCCGAAACUGCAUUUGAUACUGCCGUGCUUGAGGACUGGAGAGGAGACUGGAAUUUACGGUGUAGCGGUGAAAUGCGUAGAUAUCGUAAGGAAGACCAGUGGCGAAGGCGGGUCUCUGGGCCACUACUGACGCUGAGAAGCGAAAGCAUGGGGAGCGAACAGG